UAAAUUAAUUUCGCACUCCUUAAUUCUCACCAAAAUCGGUUAUGAUCUCUCUUAUCUGACCAGAUCGCACACCACCACAACGCACCGCCAGUCAUCGUAGCACAUCCCUGACCGAGUAUACAAUUAUGUAUAUGAUUUUGGUUUGCAGCAAGAUGACGAGACUUCUCUCAUGGUUGGAAGAAGGUUUUAAUAUCUAGUUGAUGAAUAACACUUUCUUGUGGAUGAACAAGAUGUUGAUAGUGACACCAAGAAGAUAUUAGUUGUGUCCAUAUUCUUUGAGACCAUGCCAUAUAGAUUGGAUGAGAGCACAGGUUACAUAGACUAUCAUCAGGCAGCAAAUAUCAAUGCUGAUACUGAAGCCCAAGAAUCAAUGGUAAUGAAUAUCAUCUUUUGAAGAAUGAAUACCCCAGCCUAGAGUGCGCUAAAUAUAGUGGUAUUAAUGCUAUGGUGCUAUUUCUGUCUACUACUCUUUUUGUUAUGUUAUUAUGUUCUUAAACAACAUUCUCCUUCUUGCACCCUUUUUACACGGUUGUCUACAAAUUCAGAAAAUACUUGCUAAUAUGAUAUUUACCUGAAUUAUGUAUUAGUUGAUCAACUUAUUUUUUAGCUUUGUGAAUCACGCGUUUCAUUCUAGACUUUUCCAUUGCCUCUUUGUUUUUUUAGUUAGGGGUUGGAUGGACUGGUAGAGAGUCAAAGAAAUUGAUUAUAUUUUCUGAAAAUAAUUUCUUAUUUUUUUUCUAUCCAUUUUUGCAGAUGCUUAUGUUUUGUAAAAAUAAUGUCCACUUUUGGUUUAUAUUAUUCUUUAAAUUUGAUGCUGUAAUGUUUUCCCAAAGACGAACUUACAUGAGAUGUACUGUUUGAAUUGAAAGGUAAGGUUGCUAAACAUGUACUAGAGGAAGUUGCAAAGGUAAUUUUUUCUAACUUUGGGUGUUAGUUAGUUCCUAAACAUGUUUACCUAAAAUAACUAACAUGUACCCCAAGGCGUUCGUUAAUUUAAAGCUAAUUAAGUUAGUUCAAAAGAAAAAAAAUAAAAAAAAAAACUUAAAGCUAAUAGCUAGCUCGAUAUUAUAUUGGUGAGAAUUUAUUUUAGUAGCAUCAUGUUGAAAACGAUCGAUGUGAUGUCGAAAAUGAUUGAUGUAAGCAUUAAUUGGUUUAGUAAAAAUUGAUAGAAUUAUUUAAGGAAAAAAAAGUUAUAUGUUGGUAAUAUUAUUUCAGAAAUAUUUAACAGAAAACUAACUCAAUUAUUAUUAUUUCAUAAGAUUUCAAAUCAACACCAUGAAUAGAAAUGUUAUUUUCCCCAUUGAACCCCACUAUUGUACAACUAUAUAGUGGUAAUAUGAAUGUUAAUAUACUUCAAAUAUGUUAUUGGAGUAGCUUUCAUUAUGUGAUUUUACUCAUUACUCUUGAACCUGCAGGUCCUAGGAGUUAUCACAAUUCUUAAGAUUACCAGGUAGAUAUAGCUAACCUUCAUUAGAAAUAAAAUGUUUAAGUGACUACAUAUUUUGACCACAUAGUUUGUAUAUAUACUAAAUUAUCUGCAUCCAGUUUUGUGUCUGUACUAUACUCUAUAUGAGAUAGCUGCAGCUUCAUGUUUAAGGUUGAUACAUGAUAUCAAGCUAACCAAUGCUAUGUAAUUAAUAUAUAGUUGGAAAAGUAAAUAGUCAGAUGUUCAACACAACCUAAAAAUUGUUAUCAACACUUUCUCGGCUCUGUCAUAGCAUUGUGUCUAAAAUUCAGAUGUUCAACAUUAAACUUUUAAAUAUCAAAUUUAAUUUUUGCUGCUUACUAUCUCUUAUUUGGGUUUAUCUUGCAUAAUCUUCAUCUAAUUUUCCUUACUUGGUUUACUUCUUGUUAAUAUUGGUAUUUGAGCAUUUAGGGUUUUUUUAGUACAAUUUUUGCAGAGGACGUUCGGGGGAGCACCUAAGAAGAGCGAUAAUACUCGCUAUUAUGAAGUUUUAGGAGUUCCUAAGACUGCUUCUCCUGAAGAUCUUAAGAAAGCUUAUAAGAUAGCUGUCCUUAAGAAUCAUCCUAAUAAGGGUGGUGAUCCUAAAAAGUACGUACUAUACAAUAUUGGAGACAUGGGCUGGAGUGGAGGUGACAACAUCCGUUGGUUUUGGAUAGUGUACAUCAAAAAGCGGUGAUUUUUCAUAAUGGGGUAUGAAGGAAGCUCAUCAAUGAUGUCAUCUGCGACAAUUUUGUUUUUCUAUUGCCAAUUAAUGGGGUAUUGGUUACUCUCUUGUCAACUAAUUAAAUUUUUUUCAAUGUAACUUUGUUUUGUAUUUUUUUCCUUAAGAUUUUCAUUUUUAUUGAGUUUUUUGAUAUGUGAUUAGAUGGAAUGUAUGAUUGUUUUCAAUAGAAUAGCUACAGCUUAGACUAAUGUUCUAUAGGAAAAUGUCCAUGGAAAAACAUUCAACAUACAAUAAAUUUGCCUAAUUUCAAA
Molecule: long non-coding RNA, 2440 nt
Organism: Chenopodium quinoa (quinoa)
Lineage: Eukaryota; Viridiplantae; Streptophyta; Magnoliopsida; Caryophyllales; Amaranthaceae
Exons: 4
Source: RefSeq, a predicted model, not a curated record